Molecule: ribosomal RNA, 440 nt
Filed under: uncultured bacterium
Lineage: Bacteria
Description: partial 16S ribosomal RNA
Rfam family: Bacterial small subunit ribosomal RNA
Source: RNAcentral
CCUACGGGAGGCAGCAGUAGGGAAUAUUGCUCAAUGGGGGAAACCCUGAAGCAGCAACGCCGCGUGGAGGAUGAAGGUUUUCGGAUUGUAAACUCCUAUUGUUAGAGAAGAGAAUGACGGUAUCUAACGAAUACUCACCGGCGAACUCCGUGCCAGCAGCCGCGGUCAUACGGAGGGGGCAAGCGUUAUUCGGAAUCACGUGGCGUAACGGGCGCGUAGGCGGGAGAGCAAGUCAGGUGUGAAAUCCUAUGGCUUAACCAUAGAACUGCCUUUGAAACUGUUAUUCUAGAGUAUGGGAGAGGUAGGUGGAAUUCUUGGUGUAGGGGUUAAAUCCGUAGAGAUCAGGAGGAAUACUCAUUGCGAAGGCGACCUGCUAGAACAUAACUGACGCUGAUGCGCGAAAGCGUGGGGAGCAAACAGGAUUAGAUACCCGGGUAGUC